GCCGGAAUGGUGGAAUAGGUAGACACAAGGGACUUAAAAUCCCUCGGACCUUAUACGUCCGUGCCAGUUCGAUUCUGGUUUCCGGCA
RNAcentral lists this transfer RNA (87 nucleotides) under Treponema brennaborense DSM 12168. RNAcentral describes it as "tRNA-Leu (TAA) (tRNA-Leu-TAA-1-1)". It matches the Rfam family "tRNA". Rfam says of the family: Transfer RNA (tRNA) molecules are approximately 80 nucleotides in length. Their secondary structure includes four short double-helical elements and three loops (D, anti-codon, and T loops). The record is from Rfam by way of RNAcentral. Lineage: Bacteria; Pseudomonadati; Spirochaetota; Spirochaetia; Treponematales; Treponemataceae.